This 120-nucleotide unclassified non-coding RNA is filed under the name uncultured Ascomycota. RNAcentral's name for it is "sequence contains ITS1". Lineage: Eukaryota; Fungi; Ascomycota. The record is from RNAcentral.
GCGAGUUUAGCUCUCUAAAACCAUUGUGAACGCACUGUCAACCGUUGCUUCGGCGGGCCUCCCGCCGACAGAACGCAAACUCUGUAAUUAUUGCAUCUCUGAGUACAUUUUUUAAUGUCA